Molecule: ribosomal RNA, 478 nt
Filed under: uncultured bacterium
Lineage: Bacteria
Description: partial 16S ribosomal RNA
Rfam family: Bacterial small subunit ribosomal RNA
Source: RNAcentral
AACAAACGCUGGCGGCGUGCCUAAUACAUGCAAGUCGAACGGGGAAAGCUUCCGGGCGAGUACUAGUGGCGCACGGGAGAGGAACACGUGGAUAAUCCGCCUUGGAGAGGGGGAUAACUAGUCGACAGAUUAGCUAAUACCGCAUAAAACCACAGGAACUGAGGUUCUAGGGGUCAAAGGUUUUUCGCUCCAAGAUGAGGCCGCGUAAGAUUAGCUAGUUGGUGAGGUAAUGGCUCACCAAGGCGACGAUCUUUAACUGGUCUGAGAGGAUGAUCAGUCACACUGGAACUGAGACACGGUCCAGACUCCUACGGGAGGCAGCAGUAGGGAAUAUUGCACAAUGGAGGAAACUCUGAUGCAGCGACGCCGCGUGGGUGAUGAAGGCCUUCGGGUCGUGAAGCUCUGUCGAAGGGGAAUAAAAAAAUGAAGGUACCCUGCAAGAAAGGAUCGGCUAACUUCGUGCCAGCCGCCGCGGUAA